Molecule: ribosomal RNA, 502 nt
Filed under: uncultured bacterium
Lineage: Bacteria
Description: bacterial SSU rRNA
Rfam family: Bacterial small subunit ribosomal RNA
Source: RNAcentral
UAGUCCACGCCGUAAACGAUGAUCACUCGAUGUGCAUGAAUCUUCGUGUGUGUCUAAGCGAAAGCGUUAAGUGAUCCACCUGGGGAGUAUACUCGCAAGGGUGAAACUCAAAGGAAUUGACGGGGGUCCGCACAAGCGGUGGAGUAUGUGGUUUAAUUCGAUAAUACGCGAGGAACCUUACCUGGGCUAGAAUGUGUUUUGCUACCUUGAGAAAUUGAGGGUUCCUUCGGGACGGAAUACAAGGUGCUGCAUGGCUGUCGUCAGCUCGUGCCGUGAGGUGUUGGGUUAAGUCCUAUAACGAGCGAAACCCUUUUACUUAAUUGCCAGUAUGUAAUGAUGGGGACUUUAAGUAGACUGCCCGUGUAAGUGGGAGGAAGGAGAGGAUGAGGUCAAGUCAUCAUGGCCUUUAUGUCCAGGGCUACGACACGUACUACAAUGGCAUGUACAAAGGGAAGCUACUUGGUAACAAGAUGCAAAUCUCAAAAGCAUGUCUCAGUUCGGA